GGCAACCUGGCCGAGCGGUCUAAGGCGCCAGGUUAAGGCAUCCUGGUCUCUUCGGAGGCGAGAGUUCGAAUCUCUCGGUUGUCA
RNAcentral lists this transfer RNA (84 nucleotides) under Yarrowia lipolytica CLIB122. RNAcentral describes it as "tRNA YALI0_E07854r". It matches the Rfam family "tRNA". From Rfam's summary of the family: Transfer RNA (tRNA) molecules are approximately 80 nucleotides in length. Their secondary structure includes four short double-helical elements and three loops (D, anti-codon, and T loops). Lineage: Eukaryota; Fungi; Ascomycota; Dipodascomycetes; Dipodascales. The record is from RNAcentral.